CCUGCCUCUACUUGCCUUGGGU
RNAcentral lists this microRNA (22 nucleotides) under Monodelphis domestica (gray short-tailed opossum). RNAcentral's name for it is "Mdo-Novel-10_3p (mature (guide))". Lineage: Eukaryota; Metazoa; Chordata; Mammalia; Didelphimorphia; Didelphidae. The record is from RNAcentral.